UUUCCGUAGGUGAACCUGCGGAAGGAUCAUUAAUGAAAAUUAUAAAAAAACGCCAAAGUGAAAUGUGCACGUGUGUUUUUUCAAUCUCUUUUUUUCAUUUUUUUUUGAUUUGAUUCUUUUUUUUUUAUAUAAAAAAAAAGAAGAGGAAAGAAUUAAAGUGAAAAAAAAAAGAGAUAUGAAAAAAUCAAAAAACUUUUAAAACCCUUUAUAAAAUAAAAUAUAGUUUGUCAAUUAUUAUUGUUUCUUUUUUUUUUCACAUGACUUUUAUCAAUUGAAAAAAAAGAGAGACGUAAAAUAUAAAAUGAAAAAAAAAACUUUUAACAACGGAUCUCUUGGCUCUC
RNAcentral lists this unclassified non-coding RNA (341 nucleotides) under plant metagenome. RNAcentral's name for it is "partial contains small subunit ribosomal RNA, internal transcribed spacer 1, and 5.8S ribosomal RNA". The record is from RNAcentral.